Long non-coding RNA from Neodiprion fabricii, 2375 nucleotides. RefSeq lists it as uncharacterized. The transcript is spliced from 4 exons. The record is from RefSeq and is a predicted model, not a curated record. NCBI's taxonomy places the organism in Eukaryota, Metazoa, Arthropoda, Insecta, Hymenoptera, Diprionidae.
CGAUAGUUUUCAUUCCCGAUGAAGCGGUGAUUACGAAGGCAGUGCACGCCGGCGCGUCAUAUCGUCGCACGUCAACCAAGAGAGUCGUGUGUACCCAACGAAUUAAAUAUUCCAAAGAGGAUGUCUAGCUCGGAGUUGCAGGCUGGACGGUGGCGGCUAUAAACGCUCUUCGUGUAGUAGUAGGCAUAAUACGGAGACUGAAAGCUCUAAAAGUCAUAAAACCGGGACUUGUCCGCGCGGCGACCAACGUAUGGCCCAUAAUUAUACGAUAGAGGAAGAAUCGGAAACUUGCCCCCGUCAUCCCUCCGGACAUCUGACCGGUUAUCCGUCCGCCGGUGCAGGUCCUAGGCAUCAUUGGCCCAGCCGUAUUGUACAAUUCGACCGUCAUCCUGAUUGCUACAAUUACUAGCCUCGCUGCAGCUUGUUACGACGCGUGAGGAGGAUCACCCUCGACGGGAGUGCCUCGAAACUCUCGACUAUCAAGCGGGGGUCUCUCUGCUCUCCACGUUUCCUGUUACUCAAGGACAUCGAAAAUAGAAUAUUUCUACGCGAAAAGAAAAAUUCAAGCAUAGUUUCCAGGACUUUUGAAGGACAGGCAAAAUUCAACAUUUCCAGGGCCACUGGGCACCGUGAGAUUCCAAAAGCACUGUCCUCUCUAGCCUGGACUGAAAAUUACCACACACCGGCCAGUCCUCGGCAACGUGACUGUGGUAUAUAGCAAUCCGAGGGGUCCGAAGUCGGCCGAGUCUAUAUGUAGAGGCUUUGGUCGGUCUUAUUUGCCCUGCAGUCCGUGUCCCAGGGGCGAAAACGUAUAGAGUUCUCGAUUACUGUUUGGGGCGAAGGCGAAAGAAAUUAACUACGACCCUCGUCCUACCAGGCGGCUCUUCAAAUCAGCGUGGGUACAACAACGCGCAACACGCUCGAUGCAAGUGGUACCCACCAGAAAGGUGGUUGAAUUUUCGUGGGUGUGGAAGCACGGCGAAGAGAUCAUUCGAGGUGCGGGUUCUCUUUCUGUAACAACUGAUCGUUCCUAUCUUCAGCGGCUCUUAUUGUCUCUCGGAGUAGCGCGAUCACGCUUUUACUGCCUCUUCGCUGUCUAACGCGCCCGGGAGACAACGUGCAGACCGCGGUGCGCGUAACGGAGGCCUAUUGUAGUUUACAACAAACAACGUGGAAUAGGAUCGUUUACCGGUAUAUCUCGAGGCCGGAACGAUUCACGCUCAGGGUUACCUGAGCCACCGAAAUACAAUAUUACACAAUUCGAGACCUGAUUGGACGUGCGUCUCCACGGAACCCGAAAUUUAGGCAUUGGAUUAUACCGUGAGGAUGGGCAGGACGACGGGAUGGCUCUACUCGCGCAUUAUCGUCUUAUACGUACACUGCAGAGGACAAGUCCCACCACACCGGGUUCCGGCGCCCAUAGCCCAUAAAUACGAGCAACCAGCCUCCGUGGUGUUCACGCACGUUGCUGAGAGGUAUGGGUGCUGUACAUGGUACAUCACAUCUACAAGGGUCUCCAUACAUCGCGCGUAACCAACACUCGACGAUGCAUCGUAUCGCUGGACGUGGAAGUAGAUUAUUUUUCUGCUCAACAGCGUACAAGCCGCGCGAGUGUGCGUACGUGCGGUUAUUUUUCGUCACUUCGAGUCUCCUUCGACUAUUUUCUCUUAUUAUUAUUUUUAAAUUGUUAUUCUUCCCAAUUCUUUACGCCCAACAUUAUGUUUCCACGAUGUGUGCGGCAUUUUUUUUUCUUCUUCCUUUACCUUUCAUCGUUAUUCCUCCUUGGCCCCCGACGAGCUUCCAUCGUUCCUGAGAGUAGAACCACUUCUAUGACCUUGAGGAACCUUGGCGCCGAGAUGAGGCCAAGGCCUACGUGACACAAGGAACCAAUAAACGGACCCCUUCCUCUUCGAUGCAACUGAGCUAACUCCACCGCUGGGAUAUAUCGCUUCGCAUUGCGGCAGGAGAUGAUUUUUAUUAAUUGUAAACGCCAUUUGCAACUCGCCAAGUUGCUCGCUUCAUCCGAUGCCGAGGAAAACUCUUCUUCUCAACUGCCGUGCUGGCUCGAGAGCUUCGGCGUGACUCGAAUGCAUCGAGCGACUUGGAUAACCCGCGGGCCGAGUCGCCGGGGGUCUAUUUUCAGUGUUAUAAAUAUACCGUAUGCGCUCAAGGGAUUUAUGGGUUUGGUAAACAAAUGGCGUUCGUUCCGCCUCCCGGCCUGACCAUUAGUAUGCUAAAAGGCUGAUACGGCCAAUAUUUGUACAGUCGCGGUGUCGUACGCGAGCGGAACAACGGAACCAUUUUACUCGCAUAUAACUCGGCUAGUGUUCCUCGAUGUGCUUGUCAUUCGAUAUACGCCUUUAAUCCGGCACACC